ACUAAAGGAGCAAGAUAACUAAAAAAAAUUACACACUUUCAUAUAAUAAUUAAGAGCAAUACAAAUGACAUUAAUGAGAUGAUAUCUCAUUAUAUAAUUAGGUAAAAUUUAUCCAACUUAAAAGUCUAAGAGAGAUAUACUAAACAUUAACAAAACUAAGACAAUAAAAUGGAGAUUGCUUCUCAAAAUACCAUUGUAGAUGCAUUACUUUAGCAGCUAAUCUUGACUUCCACCUUCCACAACCUGUGUAAUAGAAAAAAAUAUAAGAUUUGAUUACAUACAUCAUCAUAUAUUAUUAAAAGUGGAAAGCUAUCAUAUAUCAUAUAUUAUUAAAAGUGGGAAGCUAAAAGGAGGAAACUAAUAAUGAAAAGGAUGAGGAGCACAUUGAGAAACAAAAUGCAAGUGGAAACAAUAUUGAAGCAGAACAAGUAACACUUCAUCAGAGUAUAUAAGUGAGCACCAAAAAAAAGAAGAUGAGAAAUCUACUGUGACUGCUAGAAUCGGCAAAAAGAAGAAGAAAAAUAAGAAAGAGAAAAAUUGCCUAAAAAGAAAGGCAAGGUCACUUUCAAACCUCCUAUGCCAAUAGAAACUGCCAACAAAAACUCCAAAAGGAAAAAUCCUGAGAGAGCUACUCCAGAAGAAGAAACGAGCAUAAACCAACAUAUUGAAUAUGAACAAAGACGGAAUAACAGGUUGAAGGAUGACACUGUAGACUAUGCACAACAAGACAAUGCCAUUCUGAAUGAGGCCAACUCUAAGGAUGUUGAUCAACAAGCCAGCAAGAUAAAUGAAGAUCAAGAACAUUAUGAUGAUGUAGAGGAGAGAACAUUCUAUCUGACCAGGAAGUUUCUAAAAGCUUGCCUACAGAGAUCAAAAACCAAAAAGGUAUCCAAUUAUAUGUUGAGCUGAAUGAAGAUAUACCUAUAACAUAUGAAGAUGAGAAAAUCAUACUAUCUGAUGAGGAAACCACUGGACAAAGUCAUAGGAACAAUAGGCUUAUCACAUCAGAUGUAGACGAAGAAAAUGUACAUGCACAAUCUUACCUUAGGAAGUAAUUAACCGAUAUGGUAUUUCUCCCGAUAGAGGUAGAAGCAAAUUGAGAAAAAAGUGCCAGAAACAAAGAGGAAAAACAGCCCCUGUCUAUACUGACCAAACAACUAAUAUUCACGAUGAGGAACCGCAUGGAAAAAGAGAGGAUAACGUCAACACUGAUUUAAGUGUCAACAUUAUCUUUAUCAAAAAAAAAAAAAGAUUCAAGUGUCUCAAAAAAUGUUUGUGCUGAAGCUAAAAUCCAAGAAGGAGGGCAACUGAUAGAUGAGUUGACAGAAGAUAUGAUUACUUCUCAAGGUGAACAACAUAUACUACAAUCAGAAAAAAACAGUGGCGUGGUACUUACCAAAUCAAAGUUGAACAAUGAGGAAGAAAAUGCACAAACUUACAGUAAGAAAGCAUUUGAUAACAAUAAUAACCAGACUCUUCUCCGGAUGAUUUCAUAGUUGCUACACAUGGUGAAAAACAGAAGCUGCAAUCAGAUGAUGACGCUGCUGAACAGAGUCACAGUCACAUGGAGCUCACCGACUCUAACUUGAACAAUGAAGAAGACCGUACUCAACCUCAUCUCAAAGAUACGUUUGAUUACGACGGUACAUCUACUAUCAAAAGAGGCAGAAGUAGACAACAAAGACUUGGAAAGAAACUGAGAGAUAAGACAUUUCCUUCCUCCAAAGGGAGACACUCCAAACAACCAACUUCCUCUAGUGACAUGCAAUAACAUAGCUAAUAUAAUUUCACAAGUGAGAUCUUCUUUUAGUUUUAUUUUGUGGAAGUAAAUAAUAGAGCAACGAUAUGCGCAGGCUCCACAUUUUUAGAUAGAGAUCACACAACAAAUAGGUAUACUAUAGAGUAUUCUUUUCGUUACUGAAGCUAUAUCAGUAAUACUAAUCAAAAAUACUAAUUGAAGAAUUCUGUUGUUUGGCACCUGCCUUCAUUAGGCACAAAUUUCCAACCAAGUUCAUGCCAAACAAGUUAACUAUUAGAAGUUAGCACUUUGUAAUUUUUACUCUUACUUCAUUUGUCCCCCAAGUUAUGCAAUAUAGAACUUUAGGAUAAUAAAUUAAACAGAACACAUUGGAGGUAUAAUGUGAACUUUAUCAUUGUCGACUAGGUGGAAUCAGUAGAAAAAUGACAAGCAAAUCAGCCAAGCACACCCUUUCUAUAUCCAGAAAUAUUAUGCUUGUCAGUUUCUGAAUAUAGGAAUUUCUUACUUAUAUGUUGUGAGAUGUAAUUAAAUGUAGAGCUCAAGCACACCAUAUAUUCCUUGUUAAUGUCCUGUUAUUACCAAAAACAUACUCACGUCCUUAGUGUCUCUCCACUGAUUCACUCUUGAUGUUUGGUUAUGUGAGUCUUCAAGACCAUCCAUCAUUUCAGGGUUCUUGAUGUAUUCGUUUCAUCUGCAAUCGUGAAAGAUAUUAAAUGUGUGCUGAUAAAUCACAACAAAUUUAGAUAAUUAUUUGUUAAGAGUAUUCCAACUACGCUAAGGCCUCUUCCCUUAAACAUAUUUCGUGAUCAAAAUCCAACAAGAAGAGUAAGCAUAUGAGCACCAGAUAUUCAAUAUACUGGAGGGGGAACAAUUGAAAAAGACAAGAGCUAAGUUGUUGUUUCUGAAUAUAUCUCUAUUUCUUGUAAUACUUAUCCAAUAAACCUUUAUUUCUAGAGUUGACAUGAUAAACUUUCUUGAUUUUAAUGAGAAGUAUUCUCGAGUAAUUGAAACAAGUUGCAGUAACACACCUCGAGCCAAUGUUCGAAUACCAGGCACUACGGCGCUGAAGUAACCCACACCAUACUCCCAGGAAAAGCUCGAACAGUUUUUUGAAGGUAGUAUUUAAUUACAUGACAUUAGAGAGAAGUAUGCUUUGACCAAAAAAGGGGGAAAACUCGAGAAAUUGUUUACAAUUUUACUGCGUGUUAUAUAAUUAUGUCCUUUCCCGUAGUAUUUGGACCAGAGACAGGUGUAGCAUGUCGCUACUAGGUUAAGAUAAAUCCAAUGCUUUCCAUACAUAACAUAAGCUUAUAUGUAAAAUUUACGUAAUUACAAUAAAUAGUAUAUAUGAACUCAUAACUUCAAAAAUAAAUGGGUUCAAUAAUAAGAGUUUUAAGAUUGAACCCAUAAAACAUAAAUUCUGAAUCUGCCUCUUAUUUGAAUCACAAACAAGAAUAAUACAAACAAUAUUAUUUUCACAAACACAUAAAGAUAAAGCAUAUAAAAAAAUGUAUCAUGUAGUAUCCUUAAAAUACCUCUCCAGGAAAUUUAAAGUAAAACAUACAAUAUUUACCUUUACAAGAUUUUGUUUGCAUACUUCAUCAUCGGGGUCUUUCACCUCAUCUGUUUUACAAAAUAGAAAUAAGAAACUAAAAAUAAAUAAAUUAGUAGCAGGCAAUAGUAGAUUCACUACCACAUAUCUUUACCUUUGCACAAACUUCCUUUUAUUUUUAGUCAAUCUUAUUUGUGCCUGCAUCUGAUACCUAUGAAAUAAACCUUUCAUUGAUAGCACAUAUCGAACACUCCCAAUAAUUUUGAGAAGAAUCCAUAGUUUUAGGGUAGAUCUGAUCCUUUUUACCGAAUGUCUCCUAAUAUUGUUUUUCUAAAAGCUCUUUUGUGUCUUUCAUUUCCAUAGUUCUUCUUGCUUAUACAAGCAUCUUCACUGGUUUGCACGGAAAAUGCAUGAAGUCUAGCAGAGAGAAAAAGAACCUGAUGGAUUGUUAAAGAUACAGAGGUGGGAAGAGAGACUACGGUAACACUCCAUCUUAUGCAAGGAUAGAAGAGGGGUUUUUGACUUUUGAGAGAGGGAACAGAGGAUUUGGGGGAAAUUAUUUGAUAUUUAUGUUUUUAC
Molecule: long non-coding RNA, 3890 nt
Filed under: Solanum tuberosum (potato)
Lineage: Eukaryota; Viridiplantae; Streptophyta; Magnoliopsida; Solanales; Solanaceae
Description: long non-coding RNA (STUB_LNC004845)
Source: RNAcentral